RNAcentral lists this ribosomal RNA (439 nucleotides) under uncultured bacterium. RNAcentral describes it as "partial 16S ribosomal RNA". It matches the Rfam family "Bacterial small subunit ribosomal RNA", at positions 339 to 795 of the family's 1533-position model. The record is from RNAcentral.
CUACGGGAGGCUGCAGUGAGGAAUAUUGCACAAUGGGGGGAACCCUGAUGCAGCAACGCCGUGUGGAGGAUGACGCAUUUCGGUGUGUAAACUCCUUUUAUAUGUCAAGAAAAUGACGGUAGCAUAUGAAUAAGCACCGGCUAACUCCGUGCCAGCAGCCGCGGUAAUACGGAGGGUGCAAGCGUUACUCGGAAUCACUGGGCGUAAAGGACGCGUAGGCGGGUUGGAAAGUCAGGUGUGAAAUCCUACAGCUUAACUGUAGAACUGCACUUGAAACUUCUAAUCUAGAGUAUGGGAGGGGGAGAUGGAAUUAGUGGUCUAGGGGUAAAAUCCGUAGAUAUCACUAGGAAUACCUAAAGCGAAGGCGAUCUCCUGGAACAUUACUGACGCUAAGGCGUGAAGGCGUGGGGAGCAAACAGGAUUAGAUACCCCCGUAGUC